Molecule: ribosomal RNA, 385 nt
Filed under: uncultured eukaryote
Lineage: Eukaryota
Description: SSU rRNA
Rfam family: Eukaryotic small subunit ribosomal RNA
Source: RNAcentral
AGCUCCAAUAGCGUAUACUAACGUUGUUGCAGUUAAAAAGCUCGUAGUUGGAUUUCUGUUACGGUCAGUCGGCCGGCUCCUCGGAGUUGUAGCUAGAUUUGAUUGUAGCAUCUUGGCGUAAUAACCACUGGCAUUCAUUUGUUGGUGCGUUGGACCGCCUCGUUUACUUUGAGAAAAUUAGAGUGUUCAAAGCGGGCUAUCGCCUUGAAUAUUGUAGCAUGGAAUAAUAAUAUAGGACUUUUGGUUCUAUUUUGUUGGUUGUUCGAGAACCAAAGUAAUGAUUGAUAGGGACAGUUGGGGGCAUCAGUAUUCUGAAGCGAGAGGUGAAAUUCUUGGACCUUCGGAAGACUAACAACUGCGAAAGCAUUUGCCUAGGAUGUUCUCU